Tachysurus fulvidraco (yellow catfish) is the source of this 5578-nucleotide RNA transcript. It is a transcript of the gene named cytoplasmic FMR1 interacting protein 2, with no coding region annotated. The transcript has 30 exons. The record is from RefSeq and is a predicted model, not a curated record. Lineage: Eukaryota; Metazoa; Chordata; Actinopteri; Siluriformes; Bagridae.
AUGUGAUGACUCACGCAUCGACAUGCGAAGUCCGAUCGAACAGCAGCCGCUAAAUGGGUCGUUGUCGCUUUAAGGAAAUGCACUUGCAGCCAUUUUCUGCUCUUUGUGUGGGGCGUAUUAGCGGACAGCGACCGAGCUGAGAGCAUCAGUUGCUGGAUACUGAGCGAAGCGCCGCCGUCGUGUUUCUACGCCGCUGUGCGCUCAUUGUCCGGUGGUUUGUCGUGCGGACAUGCGAUUUGCAGGCUGAACUGCUUUGUGAGUGAUCGAGCGCAGCCAUGACGACCCACGUGACUCUGGAGGAUGCGCUGUCCAACGUGGACCUGCUGGAGGAGUUGCCGCUCCCCGACCAGCAGCCAUGCAUCGAGCCUCCACCGUCCUCCAUUAUGUACCAGGCAAAUUUUGAUACCAACUUUGAGGACAGAAACGCCUUUGUGACUGGGAUCGCCCGAUACAUUGAGCAGGCCACGGUCCAUUCCAGCAUGAAUGAAAUGCUGGAGGAGGGACAUGAAUACGCUGUCAUGUUAUACACCUGGAGAAGCUGUUCGAGGGCCAUUCCCCAGGUGAAGUGUAAUGAACAGCCCAACAGAGUGGAGAUAUAUGAGAAGACUGUGGAGGUUUUGGAACCUGAGGUCACCAAACUCAUGAAGUUCAUGUACUUCCAGCGUAAGGCAAUUGAGCGAUUUUGCAGUGAGGUGAAGCGUCUGUGUCACGCUGAGCGCAGGAAAGACUUUGUGUCUGAGGCUUACCUGCUUACCUUGGGCAAAUUCAUCAACAUGUUCGCUGUCCUGGACGAACUCAAGAACAUGAAGUGCAGUGUCAAAAAUGACCAUUCUGCUUACAAAAGAGCCGCUCAGUUCCUCAGAAAGAUGGCGGAUCCCCAGUCUAUCCAAGAAUCCCAAAACCUUUCCAUGUUCUUGGCCAAUCACAACAGAAUCACACAGUGUCUGCAUCAGCAGCUGGAGGUGAUCCCUGGCUAUGAGGAGCUCCUGGCAGACAUCGUUAACAUCUGUGUUGACUACUAUGAGAAUAAGAUGUACUUAACACCCAGUGAGAAACACAUGCUACUCAAGGUGAUGGGGUUUGGGCUUUAUCUGAUGGAUGGAAAUGUCAGCAACAUCUACAAGUUGGAUGCCAAGAAGAGAAUAAACCUCAGUAAAAUUGACAAGUUCUUCAAGCUCCAGGUCGUGCCUCUGUUUGGUGACAUGCAGAUUGAGCUGUCUCGGUAUAUAGAGACAAGUGCUCACUAUGAAGAGAACAAGUCAAAGUGGACUUGCACCCAGAGCAGCAUUAGUCCCCAGUAUAACCUGUGCGAGCAGAUGGUGCAGAUCCGAGACGACCACAUCCGCUUCAUCUCCGAGUUGGCACGUUACAGUAAUAGUGAGGUGGUCACAGGCUCCGGCUUGGACAGCCAAAAGUCUGAUGAGGAGUACAGAGAGCUGUUUGAUCUGGCACUCAGAGGUUUGCAGCUCCUCUCCAAGUGGAGCACUCAUGUCAUGGAGGUGUACUCAUGGAAACUUGUGCACCCCACUGAUAAGUUCUGCAAUAAGGACUGUCCUGGCACAGCUGAGGAGUAUGAGCGUGCUACACGCUAUAACUAUACCAGUGAGGAGAAAUUUGCCUUGGUGGAAGUGAUUGCCAUGAUUAAGGGCCUGCAGGUGCUGAUGGGCCGCAUGGAGAGUGUGUUUAACCAGGCCAUCAGGAACACUAUCUAUGCUGCCCUGCAGGACUUCGCCCAGGUCACUCUGAGAGAGCCGCUUAGGCAGGCAGUUCGCAAGAAAAAGAAUGUCCUAAUCAGCGUUCUACAGGCCAUUCGGAAGACCAUCUGUGACUGGGAGGGAGGCAGGGAGCCACCAAAUGACCCUUGUCUAAGGGGAGAGAAGGACCCCAAAGGUGGUUUUGAUAUCAAAGUGCCCCGCCGUGCCGUUGGCCCCUCAAGCACACAGCUGUACAUGGUGCGAACCAUGCUCGAGUCUUUGAUCGCAGACAAGAGUGGCUCUAAGAAGACCCUGCGCAGCAGCUUGGAUGGCCCCAUAGUCCAGGCCAUAGAGGACUUCCAUAAGCAUUCCUUCUUCUAUACCCAUCUCCUCAACUUUAGUGAGGCCCUUCAGCAGUGCUGUGACCUGUCGCAGCUUUGGUUCCGUGAGUUUUUCCUGGAGCUCACCAUGGGGCGUCGUAUCCAGUUCCCUAUUGAGAUGUCCAUGCCCUGGAUCCUCACUGACCACAUUCUAGAGACAAAAGAACCUUCCAUGAUGGAGUAUGUGUUGUAUCCCUUGGAUCUUUAUAAUGACAGUGGAUAUUAUGCUCUAACCAAGUUUAAGAAACAGUUCCUCUAUGAUGAGAUAGAGGCUGAGGUGAACCUGUGUUUUGAUCAGUUUGUCUACAAAUUGGCUGAUCAGAUAUUUGCUUACUAUAAAGCAAUGGCUGGAAGUGUUCUCUUGGACAAGCGUUUCCGAGCAGAAUGUAAGAACUAUGGAGUGAUUAUCCCAUAUCCCCCCUCAAACCGCUAUGAGACACUGCUGAAGCAGAGACAUGUGCAGCUCCUGGGUCGUUCCAUUGACCUGAACAGACUGAUCACCCAGAGGAUCUCAGCAGCCAUGUACAAAUCCCUGGACCAUGCAAUCAGCCGCUUUGAGAGUGAAGACCUCACAUCUAUAGUGGAGCUUGAGUGGCUACUGGAAAUAAAUCGACUGACUCAUCGGCUGUUGUCCAAGCACAUGACCCUGGACAGUUUUGACGCCAUGUUCCGGGAAGCCAACCACAACGUGUCCGCUCCGUAUGGUCGCAUCACUCUGCACGUCUUCUGGGAGCUCAACUUUGACUUUUUGCCAAACUACUGCUACAAUGGCUCCACCAACAGAUUUGUGCGCACAGCCAUUCCCUUUACCCAAGAGCCUCAGCGGGAUAAGCCUGCCAACGUUCAGCCUUACUACCUUUAUGGCUCUAAGCCCCUGAACAUUGCAUACUCCCACAUCUACAGUUCCUACAGGAACUUUGUGGGUCCCCCGCAUUUCAAAACCAUCUGCCGUCUCCUUGGUUACCAGGGCAUCGCCGUAGUGAUGGAGGAGCUGCUGAAGAUUGUCAAGAGCUUGCUCCAGGGCACCAUUCUGCAGUACGUGAAGACUCUAAUAGAGGUGAUGCCGAAGAUCUGUCGCCUGCCUCGCCAUGAGUAUGGAUCGCCAGGUAUCCUGGAGUUUUUUCACCACCAGCUCAAGGAUAUAAUUGAAUACGCUGAGCUGAAGACUGAUGUGUUUCAGAGCCUAAGGGAGGUUGGCAAUGCAAUCCUCUUCUGCCUCCUUAUUGAGCAAGCUCUGAAGAUAGUGCUGACAUCUGCCUCUAAAACGCAACUUUAUUUCUCAUUACACGCUGGCAACAACCAAAGGUGUCGCAGGAAGAAGUCUGUGACCUCCUUCACGCAGCUCCAUUCCAGAACAUUCUCCCCAGAGUCUACAUCAAAGAGGGUGAGAGGUUGGAGGUCAGGAUGAAGAGGCUGGAGGCGAAGUAUGCUCCUCUGCACUUGGUUCCUCUCAUUGAGAGACUUGGCACUCCACAGCAAAUUGCUAUAGCAAGAGAGGGAGACCUGUUGACCAAGGAGAGACUAUGCUGUGGCUUGUCAAUGUUUGAGGUCAUCCUCACGCGCAUCCGCAGCUUUCUGCAAGACAGCGUGUGGCGUGGACCACCACCCAGCAACGGUGUCAUGCACGUGGACGAGUGCAUGGAGUUCCAUCGGCUCUGGAGCGCCAUGCAGUUUGUUUACUGUAUCCCAGUGGGCACACACGAGUUCACAGCAGAGCAGUGUUUUGGGGAUGGACUAAACUGGGCCGGCUGUGCCAUCAUCGUGCUGUUGGGACAGCAGCGGCGCUUUGACCUCUUUGAUUUCUGCUACCACUUGCUGAAGGUCCAGAGACAGGAUGGCAAGGACGAGAUUAUCAAAAAUGUGCCCUUGAAGAAGAUGGCUGACCGCAUCCGAAAGUACCAGAUCCUCAACAAUGAGAUAUUUGCUAUUCUCAACAAAUACAUGAAGGCUGUUGAGACGGACAGUUCUACAGUCGAGCAUGUUCGCUGUUUCCAGCCUCCUAUACACCAGUCCCUGGCAACUACAUGUUAAAACCCAAUUCAGCCUAACUCUUGACACUCUUCCUUCUGGUGAGGGCUGGUUCUCAAACAUACUCGCUUAAAAGGUCAAAGGUAAUUUGCAAGCGUUUUCUCGACCGCUGUUUUAACAGCGUCAGACAUACCUCCACACGUCCAUAAAUUAGAUCCUCAAGUGAACUGAAGGCCUUAUCCACUGCCCUCUUAGCCUUGAUUCUGAACAUCCUAAUAAGAUUCUUUAGGUAUCACACAGGACCUGCCUAUAAUACACAAGGCAAAUUAUUAUAAGUAAAAAGUAACAAAUUUAAAUAUAACUGUUAAAUAAACCAGAGCACAUAUAUAAAAUUUAUAUUGUGAUUUUUAUCGUUUUUUUUUUAUAUAUAAUUAUUCCUUUUAUUGAUAGUAAAUGGGCUUUGGUAAAGACCAUUUUUGCAUGUCCAUUAAAAAAAAUAAUGUUUCACAUUUCAGUUGUCCACCUCUUUCAACUUAAUUCCUCUUUUCAUUUUUAAUGUAUGUCCCUACAGUAAUAGGUCACUAGAGUAUUAAUCUAGUUUGCAUAUUUAUUUAUCAUCUUAUCUUUUAACAUAUUUUAAAGAGAUCACCAGUUUCUUUCAUUCCUCAGUUUAUUUGGCAUAUCUGGAUUGUUUUUAAAGCCUAUUAUAUCUUCUAUUUUCCAUCUUAAAUGUCAGAAAAAGUGAAGUAUUUGGUGUGGUACUUGUUCAUUUUUUUCUAAUGUAAUAUGUCCUGUGUAUUUGCUUAAUCAAAAGAAAACAAACAAAUCCCCACCAAUCGUUGCAAUUAGUAACGUCUCGGUUUAUGAACUGCUUGUAUGGGCUAACGAUGUUUUAAUUCAAAGUGUGUAUUUAACCAGUGGAGAUGUUUAGCAUUGUGCAUUCACAUAAUCUAAAUUUCACAGUUAUGUUGCAACGGAACAUGAAGGAUUUCUUUUAAAUACCUCUUAAUUUUAUUUAGAAAAUAUUCAGUAUUUCAGAAGUGGGGAAUUUCCUGUCAUAUGCUGUGGCACACAUUUGUUUAGGGGAAAUGACCUAACUUCCAUUUUCUGUAAAUAAGGGCAGUUAAAACACCUAAAGCUACUGUCAUGAGUGGAUCCUCAUGAACUCAUCUCUUUCCUGAGUUCAGGAUCUUUUACAUACCUUUCUCUUUUAAAGUACUUAGAAAAGUAACGGUUUCUUUGCUCUCAUAACCCACAUAACCCAGUUUUCCUUGCGCCUCCGAGGGCUUAAAUGGUCAAAUAAUAAAAAGGAAACAAAAAUUCGGAAACUUUGACUUUAAGUGCUGGCAUGACGGGUGUAAUUUAUUGUCAUCUUGAAUCUUAUUGUGACAUGAUUUUUUUGUUCCUAUUGUUGUACAAGUGAUCACGUGUUUUAAAAUAGAAAAAGAAAAAACAAUGAAAUGUACAACAGAUGGUUGUGCAAAUGGAUUGAUAAUUGCAUUGUAUUUCCAUGAAAUAAAAAAUAUCUAACUGAAA